AAACUCUCGGCCACGAAAAGCCCCGCGGGGACGAACCAUCCGGCCCGUACCGCAAUCCGACACAGGUGUGCUAGGCGAGUAUCCGAAGGCGUUCGGGAGAACCCUCGUGAAGGAACUCGGCAAAAUGACCCCGUACCUUCGGUAUAAGGGGUGCUCUCCGCAAGGAGAGCCGCAGAGAAUCGGCUCUAGCGACUGUUUAUCAAAAACACAGGACUCUGCCAACUCGCAAGAGGACGUAUAGAGUCUGACGCCUGCUCGGUGUCGGUAGGUUAAGGGAGCCGAUGAGGCGCGAGCCGAAGUUGGCGACCGAAGCCCCGAUAAACGGCGGCCGUAACUAUGACGGUCCUAAGGUAGCGAAGUUCCUUGUCGGGUAAGUUCCGACCUGCAUGAAUGGCGUAACGACUGGAGCACUGUCUCCACGAGGGACCCGGUGAAACUGUAGCCGUGGUGAAGAUGCCACGUACCCGCGGUCAGACGGAAAGACCCCGUGAACCUUUACUGCAGGUUGGCAUUGGGUCAGCGUCCUUUCUGUGUAGCAUAGGUGGGAGGCCGUGAUCCGGCGGCGCCAGCCGUCGGGGAGCCAUCGGUGAAAUACCACCCUGAAAUGACUCUGAUCCUCACCGGUCCGUAGCCCGGACCGGGACCAUGCUCAUCGGGCAGUUUGACUGGGGCGGUCUCCUCCCAAAGUGUAACGGAGGAGUGCAAUGGUACCCUCGGCCAGGUCGGCAAUCUGGCAACAUGAGCGCAAACGUAGAAGGGUGCCUGACUGCGAGACCCAUCAGUCGAGCAGGGACGAAAGUCGGCGUUAGUGAUCCGGCGGUGCUGGAUGGAAAGGCCGUCGCUCAACAGAUAAAAGGUACUCCGGGGAUAACAGGCUGAUCUCCCCCGAGCGUCCAUAGCGGCGGGGAGGUUUGGCACCUCGAUGUCGGCUCAUCGCAUCCUGGGGCUGGAGAAGGUCCCAAGGGUUUGGCUGUUCGCCAAUGAAAGCGGUACGCGAGCUGGGUUCAGACCGUCGUGAGACAGGUCGGUCCCUAUCUGCCGUGGGCGGAGGAAACUUGCGAAGGGUCUCCCCUAGUACGAGAGGAUUGGGGAGGACCGACCUCUGGUGUACCGGCUGUCCCGCUCGGGGCACCGCCGGGUAGCUAGGUCGGGAAAGGAUAAGCGCUGAAGGCAUCUAAGCGCGAAGCCCUCUUCAAGACGAGGUUUCCAGCACGCAAGUGCGAAGGCUCCUGGAAGACGACCAGGUCGAUAGGCCGGGAGUGCACGGCGAGUGAUCGCCGCAGCCGACCGGUCCUAACAGCCAAUCGCUUGACCAC
RNAcentral lists this ribosomal RNA (1316 nucleotides) under metagenome. Its description in RNAcentral is "bacterial LSU rRNA". It matches the Rfam family "Bacterial large subunit ribosomal RNA", at positions 1598 to 2925 of the family's 2925-position model. The record is from RNAcentral.